This 74-nucleotide transfer RNA is filed under the name Octopus bimaculoides (California two-spot octopus). Its description in RNAcentral is "transfer RNA isoleucine (anticodon UAU)". It matches the Rfam family "tRNA". From Rfam's summary of the family: Transfer RNA (tRNA) molecules are approximately 80 nucleotides in length. Their secondary structure includes four short double-helical elements and three loops (D, anti-codon, and T loops). The record is from RNAcentral. Lineage: Eukaryota; Metazoa; Mollusca; Cephalopoda; Octopoda; Octopodidae.
GCCCCGGUAGCACAAUUGGUUAGCGCGCCGUACUUAUAAUGCGGAGGUUGUGAGUUCGAGCCUCACCCGGGGCA